ACUCCUACGGGAGGCAGCAGUGGGGAAUAUUGCACAAUGGGCGCAAGCCUGAUGCAGCCAUGCCGCGUGUAUGAAGAAGGCCUUCGGUUGUAAAGUACUUUCAGCAGUGAGGAAGGUGGAUGCGUUAAUAGCGUAUUCAUUUGACGUUAGCUGCAGAAGAAGCACCGGCUAACUCCGUGCCAGCAGCCGCGGUAAUACGGAGGGUGCGAGCGUUAAUCGGAAUUACUGGGCGUAAAGCGCAUGCAGGUGGUUUGUUAAGUCAGAUGUGAAAGCCCGGGGCUCAACCUCGGAAUUGCAUUUGAAACUGGCAGACUAGAGUACUGUAGAGGGGGUAGAA
This 337-nucleotide ribosomal RNA is filed under the name uncultured bacterium. RNAcentral describes it as "bacterial SSU rRNA". It matches the Rfam family "Bacterial small subunit ribosomal RNA", at positions 335 to 665 of the family's 1533-position model. The record is from RNAcentral.